AUGCACGCUGGCGGCGUGCCUAAUCCCUGCCAGUCGAGCGAACAGAUAAGGAGCUUGCUCCUUUGACGUUAGCGGCGGACGGGUGAGUAACACGUGGGUAACCUACCUAUAAGACUGGGAUAACUUCGGGAAACCGGAGCUAAUACCGGAUAACAUUUGGAACCGCAUGGUUCUAAAGUGAAAGAUGGUUUUGCUAUCACUUAUAGAUGGACCCGCGCCGUAUUAGCUAGUUGGUAAGGUAACGGCUUACCAAGGCAACGAUACGUAGCCGACCUGAGAGGGUGAUCGGCCACACUGGAACUGAGACACGGUCCAGACUCCUACGGGAGGCAGCAGUAGGGAAUCUUCCGCAAUGGGCGAAAGCCUGACGGAGCAACGCCGCGUGAGUGAUGAAGGGUUUCGGCUCGUAAAACUCUGUUAUUAGGGAAGAACAAAUGUGUAAGUAACUGUGCACGUCUUGACGGUACCUAAUCAGAAAGCCACGGCUAACUACGUG
Molecule: ribosomal RNA, 496 nt
Filed under: uncultured bacterium
Lineage: Bacteria
Description: partial 16S ribosomal RNA
Rfam family: Bacterial small subunit ribosomal RNA
Source: RNAcentral